AUUUGACAAGCACAAUUUUAAAUUUCAACAAUCGAAGGAACAUAUUAGUCUAAUGGGGGUAACAGCCACGAAUACAGAAUUCUCUUCGGUCGCAAAUCAUAGUCUUAAUAGGUUUUUCACAACUGCAAACAGACGACACCACAACUUAUUUCUUAAAAAGUACAAAAAUAGAGACAAUAAAGCAUUCAAUAGAGAUGAAACAUGGCACAGUGCCGGGGAUUCCACCCCAUGAAUGUUACUGAAGCUCAAGUUUUUUGAUUGCUUCGAUUUGCUGCGCUGGAUUCAGUCCCUUGGGGCAGGCAUGAGCACAGUUCUUUAUCGUGUGGCAGCGAUAUAGCUUGAACUCAUCAUUAAUGGCAUCCAGCCGCUCCUUUGUGUACUGAUCACGGCUAUCCUGAAUCCAUCUGUUAGCAUGGAGGAGAGCAGCUGGGCCGAGGUAAGUCUCGGGGUUCCACCAGUAACUUGGGCAAGACGUGCUGCAACAGGCACAGAGAAUACACUCGUACAUCCCAUCAAGCUUAGCCCGGUCCUUCUUACUCUGCAAGAUCUCCUUCCCAUCAGUCGGUGCUGCCUCCUUCCUCUUCAGCCACGGCUCCACACUCUUAUACUGAUUGUAGAAAUUAGU
RNAcentral lists this unclassified non-coding RNA (625 nucleotides) under Hevea brasiliensis (rubber tree). Lineage: Eukaryota; Viridiplantae; Streptophyta; Magnoliopsida; Malpighiales; Euphorbiaceae. The record is from RNAcentral.